RNAcentral lists this transfer RNA (74 nucleotides) under Nanobdellota archaeon. Its description in RNAcentral is "tRNA-Pro". It matches the Rfam family "tRNA". From Rfam's summary of the family: Transfer RNA (tRNA) molecules are approximately 80 nucleotides in length. Their secondary structure includes four short double-helical elements and three loops (D, anti-codon, and T loops). Further hydrogen bonds mediate the characteristic L-shaped molecular structure. tRNAs have two regions of fundamental functional importance: the anti-codon, which is responsible for specific mRNA codon recognition, and the 3' end, to which the tRNAs corresponding amino acid is attached (by aminoacyl-tRNA synthetases). tRNAs cope with the degeneracy of the genetic code in two manners: having more than one tRNA (with a specific anti-codon) for a particular amino acid; and 'wobble' base-pairing, i.e. permitting non-standard base-pairing at the 3rd anti-codon position. The record is from RNAcentral. Lineage: Archaea; Nanobdellati; Nanobdellota.
GGGGCUGUAGUGUAGCUUGGCUAUCACUCAAGCUCGGGGAGCUUGCAACCGGAGUUCGAAUCUCCGCAGCCCCA